AUGGCCCAAGAAAACGCUCAUUCUUCAGCCGUAGAGAGACUUUUGAAUUGUGAGGUACCAUUACGAGCUCAAUAUAUAAGAGUGUUAUUCUGUGAAAUAACUCGAAUUUCAAAUCAUUCACUUGCUUCAACUACUCAUGCUAUGGAUGUGGGAGCAUCAACUCCGUUCCUUUGGGCUUUUGAGGAGCGGGAGAAAUUGUUGGAAUUCUAUGAAAGAGUCCCGGGAGCCAGGAUGCAUGCCAGUUUCAUACGACCUGGUGGAGUGGCACAAGAUCUGCCUAUUGGCUCAUGUCGAGAUAUUGAUUCCUCCACACAACAGUUUGCUUCUCGUAUCGACGAAUUAGAAGAGAUGUCAACUGGCAACCGUAUCUGGAAACAACGAUUAGUGGAUAUUGGUACUGUCACUGCACAUCAAGCAAAGGAUUGGGGAUUCAGUGGUGUAAUGUUAAGAGGUCGUGCGACAUGA
Molecule: ribosomal RNA, 465 nt
Filed under: Triticum aestivum (bread wheat)
Lineage: Eukaryota; Viridiplantae; Streptophyta; Magnoliopsida; Poales; Poaceae
Description: partial small subunit ribosomal RNA
Source: RNAcentral